GAGAACUUUUGUGACUUAGUGGCGGACGGGUGAGUAACGCGUGGGUAACCUGCCUCACACAGGGGGAUAACAGUUGGAAACGACCGCUAAUACCGCAUAACCCGCUGGUGCCGCAUGGCACUGACGGAAAAGAUUUAUCGGUGUGAGAUGGACCCGCGUCUGAUUAGCCAGUUGGCAGGGUAACGGCCUACCAAAGCGACGAUCAGUAGCCGGCCUGAGAGGGUGAACGGCCACAUUGGGACUGAGACACGGCCCAAACUCCUACGGGAGGCAGCAGUGGGGAAUAUUGCACAAUGGGGGAAACCCUGAUGCAGCGACGCCGCGUGAGUGAAGAAGUAUUUCGGUAUGUAAAGCUCUAUCAGCAGGGAAGAAAAUGACGGUACCUGACCAAGAAGCCCCGGCUAACUACGUGCCAGCAGCCGCGGUAAUACGUAGGGGGCAAGCGUUAUCCGGAUUUACUGGGUGUAAAGGGAGCGUAGACGGUGAUGCAAGUCAGAAGUGAAAGCCCGGGGCUCAACUCCGGGACUGCUUUUGAAACUGUGUAACUGGAGUGCAGGAGAGGUAAGCGGAAUUCCUGGUGUAGCGGUGAAAUGCGUAGAUAUCAGGAGGAACACCAGUGGCGAAGGCGGCUUACUGGACUGUAACUGACGUUGAGGCUCGAAAGCGCGGGGAGCAAACAGGAUUAGAUACCCUGGUAGUCCACGCCGUAAACGAUGAAUAUUAGGUGUCGGGGAGCAAAGCUCUUCGGUGCCGCAGCAAACGCAGUAAAUAUUCCACCUGGGGAGUACG
Molecule: ribosomal RNA, 789 nt
Filed under: uncultured bacterium
Lineage: Bacteria
Description: bacterial SSU rRNA
Rfam family: Bacterial small subunit ribosomal RNA
Source: RNAcentral